UCUAGAACCGACAGUUGCGCGUGAAAAAUAAUGAGCUACACACAAAUGAUGGGGACUCAUUGUCAGGAAUUCCCAUAGUUUGACAAGUGUCCAGCGUGUGAGGAUGACAGUAGUUCAUUUUUCGUCGUCUUUAAAAAUAUAGCUCGCAUGAGGGGGAAGGUUUACUGACGGCCGUGAUUGGGUCACGUGAAAAAAGGCAGCAACUGAACUACUAUGUUUAAAUAAAGAGGUUUGUGUUGCUACGUAUUUUGAAUGAAGGAGUCGGGCAAAAAGCAACGUUUUUCCGGCGUCGCUGAGACCUGUAAGGAGUAUGCUGCGACCUACAGAUCUCCUCCUACGCCAUAAGGCAAAUAACACUGUAAUCAGAAUAGACAAUUAUUUGAACAAUGCAAUUUAGCUUGAUAAAAUCGACAAGGAAUGUAUCAAUAGUGAUAUUAGUCUUCACCAUUAGCACAGGAAUUAUUUGGGUAAUUUUUUCGUACAUUCAGUCAUUGAUAUCACGUUUAUACAGCGAUGUAUCUAGUUUGUUAUUACAUACUUAAUUAUGAUGCUAAAGUUUUAUGUUUUUUAUUCGUUAUAAUCAUAUUAUUGUACAAUUAUUGUAAAUUCUAUGAACUCAAUUUGAUGUGAUAUUUUUCAUCAAAUGAAUCAACUCUUGCCCAUGAAAUAGUCCGGAAUAUUAUAUGUUUAACGUGUUAACAUAUGACUAGUACGUAAGGUUACUUCUUAAAUGCAUGGAUAAACAUACUGAAUAAAUAUUUUUUCACUUUCUGAUUAAGUGACGUUUCUGUGAAUAUUGUAAAUUUUAGUGAAAAUAGAUACACAAUGGUUAAUAUAUUUUUAUACACAUGGGAGAGAUUAUUAAGUAGGAUAAUUUUGGAAAGCACAAUAUGUGAAUGAGACGUUAUAACCUCAAAUCGCUGUAUUGUGUAUUAAAAAAUUACCUAACGUCAUAAAUAUGACAAAUACUGCAACGAGCAUUCCGACAAAUUGCGUGCUUUCAUCGCUUUUAGCGACUAUCCUAUCUCCACGUUUUUCCAUCUUUAAAUAAUCACUGAUAUUUAUCGACGACAAUCAACCCUUGCAAA
Athalia rosae (coleseed sawfly) is the source of this 1088-nucleotide long non-coding RNA. RefSeq lists it as uncharacterized. The record is from RefSeq and is a predicted model, not a curated record. The transcript is spliced from 3 exons. NCBI's taxonomy places the organism in Eukaryota, Metazoa, Arthropoda, Insecta, Hymenoptera, Athaliidae.